UUCUUAUCAAGAGUGGUGGAGGGACUGGCCCGAUGAAACCCGGCAACCAAUAUAUAAUGUAUAUAAGGUGGUGCUAAAUCCUGCAGUGAAUGACUGAUAGAUAAGGG
This 107-nucleotide non-coding RNA is filed under the name Clostridium botulinum. RNAcentral's name for it is "SAM-I sequence". It matches the Rfam family "SAM riboswitch aptamer (S box leader)". From Rfam's summary of the family: The SAM riboswitch is found upstream of a number of genes which code for proteins involved in methionine or cysteine biosynthesis in Gram-positive bacteria. The SAM riboswitch acts at the level of transcription termination control. The record is from RNAcentral. Lineage: Bacteria; Bacillati; Bacillota; Clostridia; Eubacteriales; Clostridiaceae.